GUUCACUGCCACGUAGGCAGCUUAUAAA
Molecule: non-coding RNA, 28 nt
Filed under: Burkholderia sp. 8Y
Lineage: Bacteria; Pseudomonadati; Pseudomonadota; Betaproteobacteria; Burkholderiales; Burkholderiaceae
Source: RNAcentral